This 120-nucleotide ribosomal RNA is filed under the name Nitzschia sp. PL1-4. The record is from RNAcentral. Lineage: Eukaryota; Bacillariophyta; Bacillariophyceae; Bacillariales; Bacillariaceae.
CUUUAAUGUUCUAGUGAUAAUAGAACCACACUGAUCCAUAUCGAACUCAGAUGUGAAAUAUUUUUAAUCAGCGAAAAUACUUAGAAGUAACCUUCUUGGAAAGAUAGUUCAACAUUAAAG